RNAcentral lists this long non-coding RNA (234 nucleotides) under Ananas comosus (pineapple). RNAcentral's name for it is "long non-coding RNA (ACOM_LNC039360)". The record is from RNAcentral. Lineage: Eukaryota; Viridiplantae; Streptophyta; Magnoliopsida; Poales; Bromeliaceae.
UAAAACUAAUAUAAUUAUUAAAUGGCUAAAUUACAGAAAAUCUUCCUGUCAAAAUCUAAUUUUUCACUUUCCUCCCCUGUCAUUUAAAAACCUACACUUUGCCCCCUUGUAAAAUGAAAAAUGUUCACAGGGGGUUACGGUGUGAACUGUGAUGAUAAAAUGACCAUUUUGCCCUUCACCAUUUUGCCCCUCACCAUGUUCACAGGAGAGAAGGCUGAGGGUAUUUUUGGCAUA